This 345-nucleotide unclassified non-coding RNA is filed under the name soil metagenome. RNAcentral's name for it is "partial contains 5.8S ribosomal RNA, internal transcribed spacer 2, and large subunit ribosomal RNA". The stretch from base 1 to 120 matches the Rfam family "5.8S ribosomal RNA", at positions 35 to 154 of the family's 154-position model. The record is from RNAcentral.
GAUGAAGAACGCAGCGAAAUGCGAUACGUAAUGUGAAUUGCAGAAUCCAGUGAAUCAUCGAGUCUUUGAACGCACAUUGCGCCCCCUGGUAUUCCGGGGGGCAUGCCUGUCCGAGCGUCAUUGCUGCCCUCAAGCACGGCUUGUGUGUUGGGCCUCCGUCCUCCUCCCGGGGGACGGGCCCGAAAGGCAGCGGCGGCACCGCGUCCGGUCCUCGAGCGUAUGGGGCUUCGUCACCCGCUCUUGUAGGCCCGGCCGGCGCUUGCCGACACAUCAAUCUUUUUUCCAGGUUGACCUCGGAUCAGGUAGGGAUACCCGCUGAACUUAAGCAUAUCAAUAAGCGGAGGA